CAACAACGAUUUGAAGUCACACAAAGGUGAGGUUUGUGCUUUACAUAAAAGUAUGUUGAAACUGUAUGUUUCACUCUUUCGAACGAAGAAACUACAAGAAUACUAACCGAAGAGUUUGACCUCAGGUUAUCGCCCAGUGAACUCCACAACUUCUCACCUGAAGAGAGAAGACCAGAGACAGUUUUGGAGUGGUUGUGAUAACCUCAGCCUGACCCCUGAUUGGACUAAUCUCACCCUCAUCUUUUCUCGCUGGUCAGCUGACAGAACACUUCUCUGCAAUUGGAUUCACCCUCAGGGCACAGUUGACUGGAGCCCCCCUGACCUCUCUGUCACCCCUUCCUAACCCACGUUAGCCAAGGCAUCCUGGGAACAAAGAAGAAAUCGAAGGAAGACUCUGCUGUGUCUUAAUGUCCUCUGAACCAAAUCACAACCAGACCCGUUCACCCGGGGGUGUAGGCAGUGCCACCCAGGCCGGCAGCCCCUCUAGCCCUGGUCAGCCAUAGAAGAGGUUCAUUCCAGCCUUUGACCUCUCUUUCAUCUGUUUGUGGGUCUGAGGUGUUCUCUCACACCCAGUAGUGAGAGGAGAGGAGAGGGUGACUGAAAGCUGCUGCAGCUGCAGUCCAGUUCUUGUGUGUGUACUGUGAGAAUAUAGCAUCUGAAUAUGCGUGAAUAUCCGAGUCCAAAUUUGAUUCAAAUUAUUUUUUUGUUAUUGUGAAUCUGUCAUUUGCUUAAAUGUAGAUCCAAACUUAGCCAGUAGAAUUAGCCAAAUUUGCCAUCCGUUUCGCAUGAUUUUCUGCUACUGGUUGUUCUCUGUUGUGUAGCCUUCUGGGUCUCAUGACUGGAAUACUCGUCUCUCUUUCCACUUAUUCUAGUGUCUUGCAAGGCAAGGGCAAACACCUUCACAUGUACACACACACAAGACACACAUCACCCUCCUCUGCCGCCCCCACACACACACACCUCUGCUGACCUCUUCUUCAUCUCCCAUAAGGCCUUGGGGUGAGGCAGCCUGGCACCAGACAGUUAUUUAAACCCUCAGGCAGCUUCACAACAGGUCAGAGACAGAACGGAGAGAGAGAGGGGGAGAGAGAGAGAGGGAGAAAGAGAGACACAUGUAUUCACAGCUCAUUAUUUGCUGAUUAACUGGUGUCGUAACUUAAGAUGAGGGAUGAGGACUUUUUCUUUUUGAAUAGAAAGAACUUAGACUUUGUGAAGUUUUGCUAAUGACAUUCAGUGAUUGUUGGCCAUUUGCUGUAUUUGCAUCAAAAUACCAAAUAAAAUUUAAAGUCUAA
Molecule: long non-coding RNA, 1292 nt
Organism: Micropterus salmoides (largemouth bass)
Lineage: Eukaryota; Metazoa; Chordata; Actinopteri; Centrarchiformes; Centrarchidae
Exons: 4
Source: RefSeq, a predicted model, not a curated record